UGGGGAAUAUUGGACAAUGGGCGCAAGCCUGAUCCAGCCAUGCCGCGUGAGUGAUGAAGGCCAUAGGGUUGUAAAGCUCUUUCACCGGUGAAGAUAAUGACGGUAACCGGAGAAGAAGCCCCGGCUAACUUCGUGCCAGCAGCCGCGGUAAUACGAAGGGGGCUAGCGUUGUUCGGAUUUACUGGGCGUAAAGCGCACGUAGGCGGACUUUUAAGUCAGGGGUGAAAUCCCGGGGCUCAACCCCGGAACUGCCUUUGAUACUUGAAGUCUUGAGUAUGGUAGAGGUGAGUGGAAUUCCGAGUGUAGAAGUGAAAUUCGUAGAUAUUCGGAGGAACACCAGUGGCGAAGGCGGCUCACUGGACCAUUACUGACGCUGAGGUGCGAAAGCGUGGGGAGCAAACAGG
This 404-nucleotide ribosomal RNA is filed under the name Actinomycetes bacterium. RNAcentral describes it as "Actinobacteria bacterium partial 16S ribosomal RNA". It matches the Rfam family "Bacterial small subunit ribosomal RNA", at positions 355 to 776 of the family's 1533-position model. Lineage: Bacteria; Bacillati; Actinomycetota; Actinomycetes. The record is from RNAcentral.